RNAcentral lists this small RNA (381 nucleotides) under uncultured Treponema sp. RNAcentral describes it as "transfer-messenger RNA". It matches the Rfam family "transfer-messenger RNA". From Rfam's summary of the family: Bacterial tmRNA, also known as 10Sa RNA or SsrA, is named for its dual tRNA and mRNA-like properties. Lineage: Bacteria; Pseudomonadati; Spirochaetota; Spirochaetia; Treponematales; Treponemataceae. The record is from RNAcentral.
GGGGGUGCACCGGUUUCGACGAUUGUGAAUAAGGCACUUACUGCAUGUGGGAGUGAAGGUUCCCUAAACUGACAAAACAAUAACUGCAAUUUUCGAAAGAAAAGAAGAAGAAGUCGUAGAGACUGCUUCUGCAGAAGCUCUCGCUGCGUAAGUAGCUUGAGCCGGACUUCGUGGGGUGCUGUUCCUAACUUUGCGAUGUUCCGUCACAAACAGGGACUUGCUGCUUGAUGUUUCUGGUCUUCAGGCGGGACUCUUUAAUCAGAAUACGGAGAAGACGCUUGUUAUGCUGCUACCUGCUCCCGACAACUACCUCGCAUAACUAAACAUGUAGGUGUAUUUGGCUUACACUUUCGGACGGGGGUUCAAUUCCCCCCAUCUCCA